AUUGAACGCUAACGGCAUGCUUAACACAUGCAAGUCGAACGGCAGCACGGUCGUAGCAAUACGAUGGGUGGCGAGUGGCGGACGGGUGAGUAAUGUAUAGGAAUCUGCCUUGUAGUGGGGGAUAACCUGGGGAAACUCGGGCCAAGACCGCAAAAUAUUUACGAAGCAAAGUGGGGGACCGUAAGGCCCUCCGCUAUAAGAUGAGCCUAUAAUGGAUUAGCUAGUUGGUAGGGUAAAGGCCUACCAAGGCAAAGAUCCAUAGCUGGUCUGAGAGGAUGAUCAGCCACACUGGGACUGAGACACGGCCCAGACUCCUACGGGAGGCAGCAGUGGGGAAUAUUGGACAAUGGGCGAAAGCCUGAUCCAGCAAUGCCGUGUGUGUGAAGAAGGCCUUCGGGUUGUAAAGCACUUUUAGCGGGGAAGAAAAGCUUACGGCUAAUAUCCGUAAGUGCUGACGUUACCCGCAGAAAAAGCACUGGCUAACUCUGUGCCAGCAGCCGCGGUAA
This 506-nucleotide ribosomal RNA is filed under the name uncultured bacterium. RNAcentral describes it as "partial 16S ribosomal RNA". It matches the Rfam family "Bacterial small subunit ribosomal RNA", at positions 30 to 523 of the family's 1533-position model. The record is from RNAcentral.